UCCCUGGUGGUCUAGCGGUUAGGAUUUGGUACUUUCACUGCUGUAGCCUGGGUUCAAUCCACAGUCUGGGAA
This 72-nucleotide transfer RNA is filed under the name Sus scrofa (pig). It matches the Rfam family "tRNA". Rfam says of the family: Transfer RNA (tRNA) molecules are approximately 80 nucleotides in length. Their secondary structure includes four short double-helical elements and three loops (D, anti-codon, and T loops). Lineage: Eukaryota; Metazoa; Chordata; Mammalia; Artiodactyla; Suidae. The record is from Rfam by way of RNAcentral.